UGCCAGCCGCCGCGGUAAUACCGGCGCCUCAAGUGGUAGUCGCUUUUAUUGGGCCUAAAACGUCCGUAGCCGGUCUGGUACAUUCGUGGGUAGAUCAACUCGCUCAACGAGUUGAAUUCUGCGAGGACGGCCAGACUUGGGACCGGGAGAGGUGUGGGGUACUCUCAGGGUAGGGAUAAAAUCCUGUCAUCCUGAGAGGACCACCUGUUGCGAAGGCUCCACACUAGAACGGAUCCGACGGUCAGGGACGAAGCCUAGGGGCACGAACCGGAUUAGAUA
This 279-nucleotide ribosomal RNA is filed under the name uncultured bacterium. Its description in RNAcentral is "partial 16S ribosomal RNA". It matches the Rfam family "Archaeal small subunit ribosomal RNA", at positions 456 to 735 of the family's 1478-position model. The record is from RNAcentral.